UACGUAGGGUGCAAGCGUUGUCCGGAAUUAUUGGGCGUAAAGAGCUCGUAGGCGGUUUGUCGCGUCUGCUGUGAAAACCCGAGGCUCAACCUCGGGCCUGCAGUGGGUACGGGCAGACUAGAGUGCGGUAGGGGAGAUUGGAAUUCCUGGUGUAGCGGUGGAAUGCGCAGAUAUCAGGAGGAACACCAAUGGCGAAGGCAGAUCUCUGGGCCGUAACUGACGCUGAGGAGCGAAAGCAUGGGCAGCGAACAGG
Molecule: ribosomal RNA, 253 nt
Filed under: uncultured bacterium
Lineage: Bacteria
Description: partial 16S ribosomal RNA
Rfam family: Bacterial small subunit ribosomal RNA
Source: RNAcentral